CCCGAAGUCACAGGAAGACCAAAAAGAUCAUCAAGCACAACAACCACCCGAGCCACUGCCUGUUCACCCCGCUAUCAUCCAGAAGGCGAGAAAACCUUGCAGGCCCAUCAUCCUCUCUGUUUGAGAGAGUCAGGCUGUUCCUUAGCCUACUGUGUCAGGUGAAAGAACCAUCUGCACACCCCACUCUCCUCCUCCUCAUCCCACUCUCCCCCAAUUAUCUCUCCUCCGGCAUGGCUGACCCCGACCGUCACACCCAGCCGCGAGGCCACACCAACAUGCCUCGCCGGCUCAGCAUCCGAGCUUCGCCUCACCGUUCCUGGGGUCAGCUAGAACACUGGCUAGAUGGAUGUAAUCUGUAUGGUCAGCAGGGCCUGGCUAGCUGCUGGCUGAAUGACUGGCUGACUGUCAUUGUAUAGUCGGUGGGGCCUGACAAACAGCAGAGAGAGAAAGACAGAGAAACAGAGGUGUGUGGCUAUGUUCAUCAAGUUGGAUGAGUCCUUGAGCAAAGUCAGGACAGUGGUACAUUGCCCUGCAGGCAGAGCCCUGAGGACUCAAACAGUAAGACCACACGCUUGAUGUGUCUAUGAACCUGGAAUACCAAACUCAGAGGCUGUUUACACAGGCAGCCUAAUUCUG
This 636-nucleotide long non-coding RNA is filed under the name Salmo salar (Atlantic salmon). Its description in RNAcentral is "lncRNA (ENSSSAG00000119142.1)". Lineage: Eukaryota; Metazoa; Chordata; Actinopteri; Salmoniformes; Salmonidae. The record is from RNAcentral.